UACGAAGGGGGCUAGCGUUGUUCGGAAUUACUGGGCGUAAAGCGUAUGCAGGCGGAUCUUUAAGUCAGGGGUGAAAUCCUGAGGCUCAACCUCAGAACUGCCUUUGAUGCUGGAGAUCUUGAGUCCGGGAGAGGUUAGUGGAACUGCGAGUGUAGAGGUGAAAUUCGUAGAUAUUCGCAAGAACACCAGUGGCGAAGGCGGCUAACUGGCCCGGUACUGACGCUGAGAUACGAAAGCGUGGGGAGCAAACAGG
Molecule: ribosomal RNA, 253 nt
Filed under: uncultured bacterium
Lineage: Bacteria
Description: partial 16S ribosomal RNA
Rfam family: Bacterial small subunit ribosomal RNA
Source: RNAcentral